UGCCAGACUCCUACGGGAGGCAGCAGUGGGGAAUAUUGGGCAAUGGGCGAAAGCCUGACCCAGCAAUGCCGCGUGAAUGAAGAAGGUCUUAGGAUUGUAAAAUUCUGUCCUAUGGGAAGAAACAAAUGACGGUACCAUAGGAGGGAGCCCCGGCUAACUACGUGCCAGCAGCCGCGGUAAUACGUAUGGUGCAAGCGUUAUCCGGAUUUACUGGGUGUAAAGGGAGCGCAGGCGGCACGGCAAGCCUGAUGUGAAAGCCCGCGGCCCAACCGCGGGACUGCAUUGGGAACUACCGGGCUGGAGUGCCGGAGAGGUAGGCGGAAUUCCUAGUGUAGCGGUGAAAUGCGUAGAUAUUAGGAGGAACACCAGUGGCGAAGGCGGCCUACUGGACGGCAACUGACGGUGAGGCGCGAAAGCGUGGGGAGCAAACAGGAUUAGAUACCCUAGUAC
Molecule: ribosomal RNA, 450 nt
Filed under: uncultured bacterium
Lineage: Bacteria
Description: partial 16S ribosomal RNA
Rfam family: Bacterial small subunit ribosomal RNA
Source: RNAcentral